CAAUAGCGUAUAUUAAAGUUGUUGCGGUUAAAGAGCUCGUAGUUGGAUUUCUGCUGAGAACGACCGGUCCGCCCUUUGGGUGUGUAUCUGGCUCUUUCUUGGCAUCUUCUUGGUGAACGUUGCUGCACUUGACUGUGUGGAGCGCUACCCAGGACUUUUACUUUGAGGAAAUUAGAGUGUUUCAAGCAGGCAUACGCCUUGAAUACAUUAGCAUGGAAUAAUAAGAUAGGACCUCGGUUCUAUUUUGUUGGUUUCUAGAGCUGAGGUAAUGAUUAAUAGGGAUAGUUGGGGGCAUUCGUAUUUAACUGUCAGAGGUGAAAUUCUUGGAUUUGUUAAAGACGGACUACUGCGAANGNAUUUGCNAAGGAUGUUUNCAUUG
RNAcentral lists this ribosomal RNA (379 nucleotides) under uncultured eukaryote. RNAcentral's name for it is "partial 18S ribosomal RNA". It matches the Rfam family "Eukaryotic small subunit ribosomal RNA", at positions 592 to 975 of the family's 1831-position model. The record is from RNAcentral.